AGUCAUAACAAGGUUUCUGUAGGUGAACCUGCAGAAGGAUCAUUAGUGAAUGUGUGGCUGUGGAUUCGUCCCAGCCCCUCCUUUUUCUAUUGACACACCUGUGCACCGGUGGCGGCCUGCGUGGUAAGACACAACGGCCCUGCCAACAUUCUAUACAAAACACAAAAAGUCAUGAACGUAAAAUUAUCAUAACAAAGAUAA
This 201-nucleotide unclassified non-coding RNA is filed under the name plant metagenome. RNAcentral's name for it is "partial contains small subunit ribosomal RNA and internal transcribed spacer 1". The stretch from base 1 to 45 matches the Rfam family "Eukaryotic small subunit ribosomal RNA", at positions 1787 to 1831 of the family's 1831-position model. The record is from RNAcentral.